This 494-nucleotide ribosomal RNA is filed under the name uncultured bacterium. RNAcentral describes it as "partial 16S ribosomal RNA". It matches the Rfam family "Bacterial small subunit ribosomal RNA", at positions 28 to 507 of the family's 1533-position model. The record is from RNAcentral.
GACGAACGCUGGCGGCGUGCUUAACACAUGCAAGUCGAACGGUGAAGCGCCUUCCUUUUUGGUGGGUGUGGUUGAGUGGCGAACGGGUGAGUAACACGUGCGUAACCUGCCCCCUUCUUCUGGAUAACCGCAUGAAAGUUUGGCUAAUACGGGAUAUUCUGGUUCUUUCGCAUGAUUGGUCUGUGAAAGCUAUUGUUUCUGUGCGCGAUGGUCUGGCGGCCUAUCAGCUUGUUGGGGUGGUGAUGGCCUAGCAAGGCUGGGAGGGGUAGCCGGCCUGGGAGGGUGGACGGCCAGAGUGGGACUGAGACAAGGUUGAGACUGAGACGGGAGGCAGAAGCGGGGAAGAGGGCACAAUGGGCGAAAGGGUGAAGCAGGGGGGCGGCGUGAGGGAGGGAGGCGUGUGGGUGGUGAACCUCUUUGGGCAGUGAAGCAGGCCUGCCUGGUAUGAGGGGGGGGUGACGGUAGCUGGAGAAGAAGCGCCGGCUAACUACGUG